UGUUUCGGCUAGGGGGCCAUCCCGGCUUACCAACCCGAUGCAAACUGCGAAUACCGGAGAAUGUUAUCACGGGAGACACACGGCGGGUGCUAACGUCCGUCGUGAAGAGGGAAACAACCCAGACCGCCAGCUAAGGUCCCAAAGUCAUGGUUAAGUGGGAAACGAUGUGGGAAGGCCCAGACAGCCAGGAUGUUGGCUUAGAAGCAGCCAUCAUUUAAAGAAAGCGUAAUAGCUCACUGGUCGAGUCGGCCUGCGCGGAAGAUGUAACGGGGCUAAACCAUGCACCGAAGCUGCGGCAGCGACACUCAGGUGUUGUUGGGUAGGGGAGCGUUCUGUAAGCCUGUGAAGGUGGCCUGUGAGGGUUGCUGGAGGUAUCAGAAGUGCGAAUGCUGACAUAAGUAACGAUAAAGCGGGUGAAAAGCCCGCUCGCCGGAAGACCAAGGGUUCCUGUCCAACGUUAAUCGGGGCAGGGUGAGUCGACCCCUAAGGCGAGGCCGAAAGGCGUAGUCGAUGGGAAACGGGUUAAUAUUCCCGUACUUGGUGUUACUGCGAAGGGGGGACGGAGAAGGCUAUGUUGGCCGGGCGACGGUUGUCCCGGUUUAAGCGUGUAGGUGUGUGUUCCAGGUAAAUCCGGUU
Molecule: ribosomal RNA, 636 nt
Filed under: Salmonella enterica subsp. enterica serovar Oranienburg
Lineage: Bacteria; Pseudomonadati; Pseudomonadota; Gammaproteobacteria; Enterobacterales; Enterobacteriaceae
Also listed under: 2 other names
Description: partial 23S ribosomal RNA
Rfam family: Bacterial large subunit ribosomal RNA
Source: RNAcentral